RNAcentral lists this ribosomal RNA (465 nucleotides) under uncultured bacterium. Its description in RNAcentral is "bacterial SSU rRNA". It matches the Rfam family "Bacterial small subunit ribosomal RNA", at positions 30 to 502 of the family's 1533-position model. The record is from RNAcentral.
AUUGAACGCUAACGGCACGCUUAACACAUGCAAGUCGAACGGCAGCGGGAAGGAAGCUUGCUUUCUUUGCCGGCGAGUGGCGUACGGGUGAGUAAUGCGUAGGGACUUGUCAUUUAGAGGGGGAUAACCUGGGGAAACCCAGGCUAAUACCGCAUAAAUUCUAAGGAACAAAAAGAGGGGACCCUUACGGGCCUUCUGCUAUUUGAGAGACCUACGUUGGAUUAGAUAGUUGGUGGGGUAAUGGCCUACCAAGUCUACGAUCUUUAGCUGGUUUGAGAGGAUGAUCAGCAACACUGGGACUGAGACACGGCCCAGACUCCUACGGGAGGCAGCAGUGGGGAAUCUUAGACAAUGGGCGCAAGCCUGAUCUAGCGAUGCCGCGUGAGUGAAGAAGGCCUUAGGGUCGUAAAACUCUUUCGCCAGAGAUGAUAAUGACAGUAUCUGGUAAAGAAACCCCGGCUAACU